This 745-nucleotide long non-coding RNA is filed under the name Androctonus crassicauda. Lineage: Eukaryota; Metazoa; Arthropoda; Arachnida; Scorpiones; Buthidae. The record is from RNAcentral.
UUCUACAACAAAAAAAAUUUUUCAUCAAAAUAUUUUUAUUAGAAAAUAACAAAAACGAACAGAAUUGCAUCAUUUAAAACACAAUUGAAAAUUAUCAAAAGCAAAUAUAUUUAAAAUUCUUCCUCCUGGAUUUUAAAUUUGCAAAAUCUCUAAUAACAUUUUUUAUUUUGAUAUUUUUGGCUACUGCUCCUUCUGCUGCACUGUUCCAACUCAAUGAAUGUUUCACGCUUUCUGUGGUGCAUUUAAUUUUUAUUGUAUUAUGUUGUUAAUUUAAAAAAAGUUAAAGAAAGUACAUAUAGAGGAUUUGGGCCUCCCACAUUGUGGGAUCCAGCACAUUGUAGUUCUGCCACUGGUUAAAAGAUUCCAUGACAUAUAACCUAUGUAUCCUUCUAAAUUGCUUAAAUCCUUGUUAGCUAUAGGGAGACUGUAUAUUCCUAUUUUUUUACUUUCUUUUUACCUGCUUUUUGUUAUUGCUUAUGACAUUAAACAAAAUAUUUCUUUUACUGAAGGUCAAUUUUUUCUCAGUAUUUCUUUCUAUUGUCCUUCUCAUGUAAACUAUCAGUCUACACAAACUCACAUUGUGAAACUGCUUGUUCUCCUCAUUACAAUUAAUCCUAUCCUAUUACUAUGCUCACAUUUUGUUUUUUUUUAUGUUUUUUCUUAAUGGGAGAACAUCAAAUAUAAAUUUUUUAUUAGGAAUUUGUAUUUGAUGAUCUUUUAUUAUUUGAAGUGUAUGUAGCUGAGG